Ostrea edulis (European flat oyster) is the source of this 1638-nucleotide long non-coding RNA. RefSeq lists it as uncharacterized. Lineage: Eukaryota; Metazoa; Mollusca; Bivalvia; Ostreida; Ostreidae. The transcript has 2 exons. The record is from RefSeq and is a predicted model, not a curated record.
ACUAACCUUUCAUUUUUACAAUUUUUUCCAGAUUUGAUUAAUAUAACUCCAUUUUUCAAAGCUGUGCUGUAACGUUAUCAAAUGCGAGAUGAAACACUUGACAUUUGUUUACUUAUUUUGAGUAGAAACGUUUGAGUGUUGCAUCUUUCGGUCUUCUUGAAAACAAAAUGGGCUCAUACCUAGUUUGCCAAUACAUGUACAACCUGUCAUCGGGUCAAAUGCUGUCUGAGUGCUUCAUACCCCCGUUCUUAACACACCGAUUUUUUUUUACUGCGGAUUACUCUGUUUACCUGAUCAAAAUAUAGAGCUCUCGGCAGGUGUGACCGUUCGACAAGGGAUGGUUACUCCUCCAAGGCACGUGAUCCCACCUUUGGUAUGUCCAGGGGCGUGUUUGACAAACUCAUAAUUUUAAAUUCCUUAUAGGAGUUUUGAGAUUGAUCACGGACGGUGAGGGUGUACAGUGAGUAGUUUUCAAGUAUUAUUAGGUUGGUUUUUUGUUGGGUUUUUUUUACACAUUCAAUAUUAUCUUCAUCCAUGUUUCAAGAGUAUUUGUCAUGUACGUCUUUUCAAAUGUUUUUUUUUUUUAAGUUAAGAACUUACUAAGACUAUUCUUUUGAACAUUUUGGCGCAUGAUAAAAAAGACUUCAUGCGUUUUCUAGAUAUCAUUUCUGAAAAUGAUCUUAAAAACAGAAUAUUUGAAUGACCUGGGCGACCAACAGAAAUAGAUCAGAAAUGCUAAUUGAGUGAUAUAAAACUGUCCCAGUGUCUUUUAAAUUUGUUUCAGAUGAUGAGUUAUAUUGCUGGAUGUAUCGCUUUGUGACAGAAGCUUGAACACAAAAUGAUUGAACUCUCUUCUAUGAAGAGUCCUGCACAGUGGGCAAUAAUGGGCAUCAGAGAAGAUAUGCUCUCCACCGGUAACUUCUGAAGGAAACUUUGUAAAGCUCGAUGUGACUCGCUGAUAAACACUUUCUCAACCUGUGAAUUUUGAUUUGGUUGAUUAAAUCUUUUUUUUUUCUUCAGAGCAUGAAAGAUAAUUGGUUGUGACUUCCUACUUCACUUCAGUGAAAAUUAUAUUCUUCUAUAAACCUUACUUUAAAAGUUUUUCUUAAGGAUUGUCAAAAAUUGUGUUUAUUGAAUCUGAAAAAUUCAUAUUGUAUUUAGAAACAAUGUCACAAUGUAAGGAAACAAAUUGUAUGAAUAUAUGUAAAAAGCCUCCAUUUAGCUGUCAUGGUGGAUGAAAUUAUGUCUUACCUGUUUGGCACAUUGAAACUUGUUUUCUGGUUUGACCAGACAACAACUAAAACAGAGUAAAGUACAAAAAGGUGAGACAUUAAGAUAUAUGUUCUAGAUAUGUAUACAUGUAUAUGUUAAAGCAAAGACCUAAACGCUUUACGUCUAUGGUUAAAGAUAGGACCACAAUGUCAAAUAGGUUGCAUGAUAACUAAUAUUGUGCAGUCCUGUAUAUACAAAGGAUAUCAUCAUUAUUAUUACAUUUCUGGUAAUUAGCAUAUAAAGGAUAUUAUUUUUACUACAUGUAUUACAUUUCUGGUGAUUAAUAAGUCCUGAUAACUAUUUCUGUCAAUACAUGGAUAAUGAUUUCUAUUUUUGUCAAUACAAAUACAGAACAUGCAGAAUUUU